GAUGAACGCUGGCGGCGUGCUUAACACAUGCAAGUCGAACGGAAAGGCUCCUACUUGCUGGGGUGCUCGAGUGGCGAACGGGUGAGUAACACGUGGGUGAUCUGCCCUGUACUUCGGGAUAAGCUUGGGAAACUGGGUCUAAUACCGGAUAGGACAACUUUUUGGAUAUUGUUGUGGAAAGCUUUUGCGGUGUGGGAUGAGCUCGCGCCCCAUCAGCGUGUUGGUGGGGUAAUGGCGUACCAAGGCGUCGACGGGUAGCCGGCGUGAGAGGGGGUACGGCGACACUGUGGGAGAGAUACGGCGCAGACACCUACGGGGGGCAGCAGAGGGGAAUAUUGCACAAUGUGGGCAAGCCUGAGGCGGCGACGCCGCGUGGGGGAUGAAGGCCUUCGGGUUGUGAACUCCUUUCGCUAGGGACGAAGCGUUUUUGUGACGGUACCUGGAGAAGAAGCACCGGCUAACUACGUG
RNAcentral lists this ribosomal RNA (468 nucleotides) under uncultured bacterium. Its description in RNAcentral is "partial 16S ribosomal RNA". It matches the Rfam family "Bacterial small subunit ribosomal RNA", at positions 28 to 507 of the family's 1533-position model. The record is from RNAcentral.